This 368-nucleotide transfer-messenger RNA is filed under the name Actinomycetales. RNAcentral's name for it is "JACMOY01 sp014377795 Standard tmRNA". It matches the Rfam family "transfer-messenger RNA". Rfam says of the family: Bacterial tmRNA, also known as 10Sa RNA or SsrA, is named for its dual tRNA and mRNA-like properties. RNAcentral also lists the same sequence under 1 other name. The record is from RNAcentral. Lineage: Bacteria; Bacillati; Actinomycetota; Actinomycetes.
GGGGGUGAACGGUUUCGACGUUGGUCGUAAUCCCAGGAGAAGCGGGUCGAGGACGCACGGUUAUCUCGCAAACGAUCCGUGCAAACCAAUAGGUGCCGAUUCCAAGCGCACCGACUUUGCCCUCGCCGCCUGAGCGAGUGUAAAAGUCCGUCAGCCCGGGGAGGCUCCGGCCCCGGAUCCUGGCGUCAUCUACGGAGCCACUGCUUCGGACCCAGGCCGCGGGGGUCCGUUGAACACUUACGCGGCUGGGCUUGGCAGCGACGUGCCUGCGCGAUCGCUGGAGCCGAGAAAAACCACAGCAGGCUGCACCCGGAGAAGUCCUGGUUCUGCGUCAGCGGACGCGGGUUCGAUUCCCGCCACCUCCACCC